AAGCUCGUAGUUGAAUUUCGGGGUUCUUCCGUUGGUCAGGCUAACAAGUCUGUACUAGCGUGUAGAAUCUCUACCUUCUGGGGAACCAUCAUGUUAUUAAUUUAGCGUGGUGGGAAACCAGGACCUUUACCUUGAAAAAAUUAGGGUGUUCAAAGCAGGCUUACGUCUGAAUACAUUAGCAUGGAAUAAUAAAAUAGGACGGUGGUCCUGUUUUGUUGGUUUCUGAAUCACCGUAAUGAUUAAUAGGGAUAGUUGGG
This 257-nucleotide ribosomal RNA is filed under the name uncultured Scutellospora. Its description in RNAcentral is "partial 18S ribosomal RNA". It matches the Rfam family "Eukaryotic small subunit ribosomal RNA", at positions 624 to 886 of the family's 1831-position model. The record is from RNAcentral. Lineage: Eukaryota; Fungi; Glomeromycota; Glomeromycetes; Diversisporales; Gigasporaceae.